AAUACAGAGUACUCAGUUAAAUUUGAAUUUCAGAUAAACAACAAUUUCUUUUUAAGUGUAAGUAUGUCUCAUGCAACCUUUGGGAUAUACUUAUACUAAAAAAUAUAUUAUCUAUCAGAAAUUCAAGUUUAACUGGACACGCUAUGUUUU
RNAcentral lists this microRNA precursor (150 nucleotides) under Mustela putorius furo (domestic ferret). RNAcentral's name for it is "miRNA (ENSMPUG00000020653.1)". The stretch from base 50 to 101 matches the Rfam family "mir-1302 microRNA precursor family". The record is from RNAcentral. Lineage: Eukaryota; Metazoa; Chordata; Mammalia; Carnivora; Mustelidae.